This 25-nucleotide non-coding RNA is filed under the name Xenopus tropicalis (tropical clawed frog). RNAcentral also lists the same sequence under 5 other names. The record is from RNAcentral. Lineage: Eukaryota; Metazoa; Chordata; Amphibia; Anura; Pipidae.
UUAAUCUGAGGGUCCAGGGUUCAAG